CCUACGGGUGGCAGCAGUGAGGAAUAUUGGUCAAUGGGCGAGAGCCUGAACCAGCCAAGUCGCGUGAGGGAGUACUGCCCUAUGGGUUGUAAACCUCUUUUGUCGGGGAGCAAAAGCCGGACGUGUCCGGCUGUGAGAGUACCCGAAGAAAAAGCAUCGGCUAACUCCGUGCCAGCAGCCGCGGUAAUACGUAGGAUGCGAGCAUUAUCCGGAUUUAUUGGGUUUAAAGGGUGCGCAGGCGGAAGAUCAAGUCAGCGGUAAAAUUGAGAGGCUCAACCUCUUCGAGCCGUUGAAACUGGUUUUCUUGAGUGAGUGAGAAGUAUGCGGAAUGCGUGGUGUAGCGGUGAAAUGCAUAGAUAUCGCGCAGAACUCUGAUUGCGAAGGCAGCGUACCGGCGCCAGACUGACGCUGAGGCACGAAAGCGUGGGGAUCGAACAGGAUUAGAUACCCUUGUAGUC
RNAcentral lists this ribosomal RNA (458 nucleotides) under uncultured bacterium. Its description in RNAcentral is "partial 16S ribosomal RNA". It matches the Rfam family "Bacterial small subunit ribosomal RNA", at positions 338 to 795 of the family's 1533-position model. The record is from RNAcentral.